This 608-nucleotide ribosomal RNA is filed under the name Psychrobacter celer. Its description in RNAcentral is "bacterial SSU rRNA". It matches the Rfam family "Bacterial small subunit ribosomal RNA", at positions 843 to 1450 of the family's 1533-position model. Lineage: Bacteria; Pseudomonadati; Pseudomonadota; Gammaproteobacteria; Moraxellales; Moraxellaceae. The record is from RNAcentral.
GUGACGCAGCUAACGCAAUAAGUAGACCGCCUGGGGAGUACGGCCGCAAGGUUAAAACUCAAAUGAAUNGNCGGGGGCCCGCACNAGCGGUGGAGCAUGUGGUUUANUUCGAUGCAACGCGAAGAACCUUACCUGGUCUUGACAUAUCUAGAAUCCUGCAGAGAUGCGGGAGUGCCUUCGGGAAUUAGAAUACAGGUGCUGCAUGGCUGUCGUCAGCUNGUGUCGUGAGAUGUUGGGUUAAGUCCCGCAACGAGCGCAACCCUUGUCCUUAGUUACCAGCGGGUUAAGCCGGGAACUCUAAGGAUACUNCCAGUGACAAACUGGAGGAAGGCGGGGACGACGUCAAGUCAUCAUGGCCCUUACGACCAGGGCUACACACNUGCUACAAUGGUAGGUACAGAGGGCAGCUACACAGCGAUGUGAUGCGAAUCUCAAAAAGCCUAUCGUAGUCCAGAUUGGAGUNUGCAACUCGACUCCAUGAAGUAGGAAUCGCUAGUAAUCGCGGAUCAGAAUGCCGCGGUGAAUACGUUCCCGGGCCUUGUACACACCGCCCGUCACACCAUGGGAGUUGAUUGCACCAGAAGUGGUUAGCCGAACCUUUAGGACGG